Long non-coding RNA from Anguilla rostrata (American eel), 1885 nucleotides. RefSeq lists it as uncharacterized. NCBI's taxonomy places the organism in Eukaryota, Metazoa, Chordata, Actinopteri, Anguilliformes, Anguillidae. The transcript has 3 exons. The record is from RefSeq and is a predicted model, not a curated record.
AAACGCCACAAUUCUUAUAAAUGUGCCAUGAGCAUUAGGCCGAAGCAACUUACAACUGACUGGUCGUUGGGAAGUGCGGAGAUAUUCAAUGAGGGCCGGUCGGGUUUUCAUUAAUUUUUUUCGCAGCGGUGGGCCAACAUUAAAUUAAAUCCAUUUUAUGAUGCGUCUCUUACUCUUGCACGCACGCACACGCAAGGUAUGACUCCUCCCCUCCCUAAUAAAACUUGUCCGGUUUUGUCUCUGAACGUGAUUUAUUUAUCACAAACUCGAUCACCGUGGUUUCGUUUCAACGUGCAUCACGCUGGAGUCUUUUUAUUUCAAUUAUUCCAUUCCAUUGAUUGGGAGAUCAGCUGGUCGACGUGCUGCAGCCGCAUGCCCUGACUGGUUUAUUAUUUCGGUGUGUUGAUUCGGACAAAUAUUGGGUCUGCACCUGCCUACUUUUCGUGUCUAAAAACUUUCAUUUAGAUAAGCUACCUAAGCAGUACUUUCAUAUUAUCAGAUUGCCUCUUGUACUGAAAACCUAGGCUGAAUUUGCAGAAUUUUAAAAUGGCAUCAAGUUUAACUGAAAUCGCUGAUUGGUAUGCCAGCUGAAGCUCCCGCAGACCCGGACAUUAUUCACAGCCAGCAGGCCUGUCAGCGGAGAUAACGCAUGGUGGAUCCGCCUUCCCGCUUUCCCGCCUUCCUGCCCGGAAAAUGGGAGAAGAGUGAGUGGUGGCAUGCGGCAGGGCUCCGCCCCCAGUUCCGCCCCCCCAGCGCCGCCUUCCAGCUCCGCCCCCAGCUCCGCCCAGCUCCCGCCUCCCUGAUAGCUCUGCAGUGCAGACUGCCGCUGACAGAUUUCUCUACAACAGACAAAAAGUCCACCGUUCGGCUAUGAGCGAGAGUCCUGCGACAAGGUAGACACGGCGGCCAGCGCGGCUAACGUCAAGCGGGAUUUAAAAAAUCCAUUCAGCCUCUCGUAAUCCCGCCAACUGCCAACCUUCAGGCGCUUUCUCCUCACUCUUUGUUUAAGAACGUCGCUGCUGGGAGGCCGUAUUCCGCUCCAGCCUGAGCGAAGCGCGGCGCUAAUCGGCUCCAAGCCCCGGCCGAAUGAAUACAGAUCAGCUAGCCGGCUGCUGCCUGGCCCAGCCUCUCAUCCUCAGGACAGCGGCCUUCUCUGCGGAAGACAGAUAGAGUUAAUUAUGGAAGAUCAAAUACACCUCGUUUACACGAGCCGGGAAACCAAAAUGAAAAAAAAUUCAAUAAGAAAAACAAAAACAACAAAAAAAAAAGCAGUAAUGAAAUGGCCAUUGUUCCCGUACACACACAGAAGUGAGCUGCAGACCAGAUGAAAGGAACCGUAAAUGGAGCUAAUCUAAAUUGAGCUGACCUGGUCCUCCCCUCUGUCACGGUAGCCAUUAAUUAAGUUAAGUCAAUUACGUUUAAUUAAGACCGUAUUUAGCCCGUAGUCUUGUAGGCCAACCCUUAAUGACCAAGUAAAAAUCGUUCAGCAACAAUUGAUGACUUAUAGAUAUCUCUUUUGAUAUUGCCUUUUUGAUGAGAGAUAUAAAAACACAGUAUAUCACACUUCUUUCCUUACUCAUACACAUUCAGUGACAUUAACUGUGUUCAUUUGGCCUCGCUUUAGGAACAAAGGAUUCUCUGCUGUUCUCUUUCCUGAUCAUAUCUCUGCUCUUUCUUACAUGGCAGAUAAAUCUGACUGAAGUUCCCAUUUCACUCUACAGGUGUUUCACUGGCUAAUAUGCAGUCCUGAUUAUUGACAAACUGACAUUGAAAUUGACACAUGGUCUUCUUUGUCUGCUGUUCCAUAAGGUUGCCAUUCCAAAUUAUCCAACUGCAGCUAAUCAUAAAAAAUGAAAAUAAAAACAUUUUUUGGAUCAGAAGAAAA